RNAcentral lists this ribosomal RNA (465 nucleotides) under Vreelandella stevensii. Its description in RNAcentral is "partial 16S ribosomal RNA". It matches the Rfam family "Bacterial small subunit ribosomal RNA", at positions 338 to 795 of the family's 1533-position model. The record is from RNAcentral. Lineage: Bacteria; Pseudomonadati; Pseudomonadota; Gammaproteobacteria; Oceanospirillales; Halomonadaceae.
CUUACGGGUGGCUGCAGUGGGGAAUAUUGGACAAUGGGCGAAAGCCUGAUCCAGCCAUGCCGCGUGUGUGAAGAAGGCCUUCGGGUUGUAAAGCACUUUCAGUGGGGAAGAAAGCCUUGGGGCUAAUACCCUCGAGGAAGGACAUCACCCACAGAAGAAGCACCGGCUAACUCCGUGCCAGCAGCCGCGGUAAUACGGAGGGUGCGAGCGUUAAUCGGAAUUACUGGGCGUAAAGCGCGCGUAGGCGGUCUGAUAAGCCGGUUGUGAAAGCCCCGGGCUCAACCUGGGAACGGCAUCCGGAACUGUCAGGCUAGAGUGCAGGAGAGGAAGGUAGAAUUCCCGGUGUAGCGGUGAAAUGCGUAGAGAUCGGGAGGAAUACCAGUGGCGAAGGCGGCCUUCUGGACUGACACUGACGCUGAGGUGCGAAAGCGUGGGUAGCAAACAGGAUUAGAUACCCCAGUAGUC